GGAGAGGUCGCAUAGUGGCCUAGUGCGUCCGCUUGGAGAGCGGAUAGGUCCGCAAGGGCCUCGCGAGUUCGAAUCUCGCCCUCUCCGCCA
This 90-nucleotide transfer RNA is filed under the name Candidatus Nealsonbacteria bacterium CG07_land_8_20_14_0_80_40_10. RNAcentral's name for it is "tRNA-Ser". It matches the Rfam family "tRNA". Rfam says of the family: Transfer RNA (tRNA) molecules are approximately 80 nucleotides in length. Their secondary structure includes four short double-helical elements and three loops (D, anti-codon, and T loops). Lineage: Bacteria; Candidatus Nealsoniibacteriota. RNAcentral also lists the same sequence under 2 other names. The record is from RNAcentral.